RNAcentral lists this transfer RNA (81 nucleotides) under Campylosiphon championii. RNAcentral's name for it is "Burmannia championii tRNA-Leu". It matches the Rfam family "tRNA". Rfam says of the family: Transfer RNA (tRNA) molecules are approximately 80 nucleotides in length. Their secondary structure includes four short double-helical elements and three loops (D, anti-codon, and T loops). Lineage: Eukaryota; Viridiplantae; Streptophyta; Magnoliopsida; Dioscoreales; Burmanniaceae. The record is from RNAcentral.
GCCUUGAUGGUGAAAUGGUAGACACGCGAGACUCAAAAUCUCUUGCUAAAUAGCGUGGAGGUUCGAGUCCUCUUCAAGGCA